Molecule: long non-coding RNA, 713 nt
Organism: Musa acuminata subsp. malaccensis (wild Malaysian banana)
Lineage: Eukaryota; Viridiplantae; Streptophyta; Magnoliopsida; Zingiberales; Musaceae
Source: RefSeq, a predicted model, not a curated record
CAUAAUCGAACAAAGACGGGGAUACCGACAGUGCCGAGAUACCGAUAAGAGGCGGAGAGAAGCGACUCGGGAAUAAGGAUCGGAGGUGUUCUUUUGGGCGAGAUAACGAGGAGAAGAAGUCGAGGGAUGGGACGGCCGCCGAGGGCGAUCGUGGGGGACGAUUACGAGGUAACAGAGUUAUGUUAUUCUGAAGGUUGGCCUACAUUUGUGUCAUGAUUGGUGAGGGAAUGUAAUGCAUAUCUACAAGCAUUACUGUAGUAAGUUUUCAUCUGAUUAUAGUAGUCCUCUUCCUUUCUUGUCCUUAAUGUAUCUCUUCUCGAGAAGCUUCAGGAAUGCCAACAUCCUUAAAAGAAAGUGGCUUCCCCGGCUUCUUCCGAUGUAAAGGGAUAAAUCUCAAUCAUCUUCUGGGGAAUAAAGGCUAAAGACGGCAGUUUAAUAUGUUCAGUUGUUGUAACUCAACAAGAUCAUUCUCUUGUUCUACGAGGAGGAUAUGAUCAUAGAAAUCUGUUGUGAAAAGUGAAGCAAGUGGGUCGUUUUUAGCUUUAGUAGGCCUUCACAUAAGUUGUUCUAAAUGCUAACGGUGAUUAUACAAACCAUGUUUUGUUGCUCAGAGAAGAGUAAUGUGAGACGUGUGGCUCUGUUAGCUUUUUAACUUGCAAGAGAUCUCAGUUGCCUAUUGAUGUCUUCAAUUGUAUUGGGUUAUAAUCCCAAAA